RNAcentral lists this ribosomal RNA (181 nucleotides) under uncultured bacterium. Its description in RNAcentral is "partial 16S ribosomal RNA". It matches the Rfam family "Bacterial small subunit ribosomal RNA", at positions 653 to 832 of the family's 1533-position model. The record is from RNAcentral.
AGAGGGGAGUGGAAUUCCGCGUGUAGCAGGUGAAAUGCGUAGAUAUGCGGAGGAACACCGAUGGCGAAGGCAGCCCCCUGGGAUAAUACUGACGCUCAUGCACGAAAGCGUGGGGAGCAAACAGGAUUAGAUACCCUGGUAGUCCACGCCCUAAACGAUGUCAACUARYUGUUGGGRGCUU